Molecule: transfer RNA, 64 nt
Filed under: Pseudocolaspis sp. PSE01
Lineage: Eukaryota; Metazoa; Arthropoda; Insecta; Coleoptera; Chrysomelidae
Description: tRNA-Pro
Source: RNAcentral
CAGGGAAUAGUUUAAGUAAAAUAUUAAUUUUGGAGAUUAAAGAUAAGUAAUUUCUUUUCUCUGA